CAGGACUCGAAAGACUCCCGUAACCCCUGUGAACAUACCUAUAUUCGUUGCCUCGGCGGGUGCUCCGGUUCGUCCGGGGCGCUGCGCCCGCCGGCGGCCCGUUACUCUGUCUCAUGCGUUGGCAUCUCCGAGUACAUACAAAUAAGUUA
Molecule: unclassified non-coding RNA, 149 nt
Filed under: uncultured Dictyochaeta
Lineage: Eukaryota; Fungi; Ascomycota; Sordariomycetes; Chaetosphaeriales; Chaetosphaeriaceae
Description: sequence contains ITS1
Source: RNAcentral